AGGGUUUGAUCAUGGCUCAGAACGAACGCUGGCGGCAUGCCUAACACAUGCAAGUCGAACGCUAUUUAUAGAGUGGCGCACGGGUGAGUAACGCGUGGGAACCUGCCUUUCUCUGCGGGACAACGGUUGGAAACGACCGCUAAUACCGCAUACGCCCUACGGGGGAAAGGUCAGCCGGAGAGAGAGGGGCCCGCGUUAGAUUAGCUAGUUGGUGAGGUAAUGGCCUACCAAGGCGACGAUCCAUAGCUGGUCUGAGAGGAUGAUCAGCCACACUGGGACUGAGACACGGCCCAGACUCCUACGGGAGGCAGCAGUGGGGAAUAUUGGACAAUGGGGGCAACCCUGAUCCAGCCAUGCCGCGUGAGUGAUGAAGGCCCUAGGGUUGUAAAGCUCUUUCAGUGGUGAAGAUAAUGACGGUAACCACAGAAGAAGCUCCGGCUAACUCCGUGCCAGCAGCCGCGGUAAUACGGAGGGAGCUAGCGUUGUUCGGAAUUACUGGGCGUAAAGCGCGCGUAGGCGGCUUGACAAGUUGAGGGUGAAAGCCCGGGGCUCAACCCCGGAACUGCCUCCAAAACUGUCGAGCUAGAGUAUGAUAGAGGAAAGCAGAAUUUCUAGUGUAGAGGUGAAAUUCGUAGAUAUUAGAAAGAAUACCAAUUGCGAAGGCAGCUUUCUGGAUCAUUACUGACACUGAGGAACGAAAGCAUGGGUAGCGAAGAGGAUUAGAUACCCUCGUAGUCCAUGCCGUAAACGAUGUGUGUUAGACGUUGGAAAUUUAUUUUCAGUGUCGCAGGGAAACCGAUAAACACACCGCCUGGGGAGUACGACCGCAAGGUUAAAACUCAAAUGAAUUGACGGGGACCCGCACAAGUAGUGGAGCAUGUGGUUUAAUUCGAAGAUACGCGCAGAACCUUACCAACACUUGACAUGUUCGUCGCGACUCUAAGAGAUUAGAGUUUUUGCCUUCGGGAACACAGUGACAGGUGCUGCAGGGCUGUCGUCAGCUCGUGUCGUGAGAUGUUGGGUUAAGUCCCGUAACGAGCGCAACCCUUGUCCUUAUUUGCCAUCAUUAAGUUGGGCACUCUAGGGAUACUGCCGGUGACAAACCGGAGGAAGGUGGGGACGACGUCAAGUCAUCAUGGCCCUUACGACCAGGGCUACACACGUGCUACAAUGGAGCGUACAAAGGGUUGCGACCUCGCGAGAGUGAGCUAAUCCCAUAAAACGUUUCGUAGUCCGGAUCGCAGUCUGCAACUCGACUGCGUGAAGUCGGAAUCGCUAGUAAUCGUGAAUCAGAAUGUCACGGUGAAUACGUUCCCGGGCCUUGUACACACCGCCCGUCACACCAUGGGAGUGGGUUGCAAAAGAAGUGGGUAGCAUAACCUUCGGGAGUGCGCUCACCAAAUUGUGAUUCAUGACUGGGGUGAAGUCGUAACAAGGUAGCCGUA
RNAcentral lists this ribosomal RNA (1445 nucleotides) under uncultured prokaryote. Its description in RNAcentral is "partial 16S ribosomal RNA". It matches the Rfam family "Bacterial small subunit ribosomal RNA". The record is from RNAcentral.